RNAcentral lists this long non-coding RNA (337 nucleotides) under Mytilus galloprovincialis (Mediterranean mussel). The record is from RNAcentral. Lineage: Eukaryota; Metazoa; Mollusca; Bivalvia; Mytilida; Mytilidae.
GUGUUUCGCCUACCCAAGUUUGUAAUGCCUAACCUAAAGAUUUUUAAGUCAUUCUUUUACAAACAGUUCUUCAAUCAGAGAGUUUCCCUUUUGAAACCAGUUGACAACUUCAUGAAAAGGGAAAAGAAAAUAUUUGCCUAGUACCAACAUUAUGCCAACUCUACCAGUAAUUGUGUUUAGCUACAAUGUAUAGUAGAAACACGUAUCAUUUUUUAGGUCUAAUUUUCAGUUUCAUUUAAUUUUUUUAUUUUUUAUUUCCACCAAAUAAGGUACUGAUACAAUAAAUAAAGUACACAGUGAAUAAUGACUUCACACAGAUCUUCAAAUAAACUUUAAU